AAACAACCCCCUAUGUUUUGAUUCUUUGGCAGUUUUGGACCCCUAAGGCAAAAAAUAAAAUAAAAUAUUGAAACGUGGCACCUCACUUAAGGUGCCACGUCAGCGUUGACCGAGUCAACAAUGGAUUGGGGGUCCAAAACUGCCAAAGAAUCAAAACAUAGGGGGUUGUUU
Molecule: microRNA precursor, 171 nt
Organism: Medicago truncatula (barrel medic)
Lineage: Eukaryota; Viridiplantae; Streptophyta; Magnoliopsida; Fabales; Fabaceae
Rfam family: MIR2619 microRNA precursor family
Source: Rfam